This 484-nucleotide ribosomal RNA is filed under the name uncultured bacterium. RNAcentral's name for it is "partial 16S ribosomal RNA". It matches the Rfam family "Bacterial small subunit ribosomal RNA", at positions 28 to 507 of the family's 1533-position model. The record is from RNAcentral.
AUUGAACGCUGGCGGCAUGCUUUACACAUGCAAGUCGAACGGCAGCGCGGGCUUCGGCCUGGCGGCGAGUGGCGAACGGGUGAGUAAUGCAUCGGAACGUGCCCAGUAGUGGGGGAUAGCCCGGCGAAAGCCGGAUUAAUACCGCAUACGACCUGAGGGUGAAAGCGGGGGACCGAAAGGCCUCGCGCUAUCUGAGCGGCCGAUGUCGGAUUAGCUAGUUGGUGGGUGAAAGGCUUACCAAGGCGACGAUCCGUAGCUGGUCUGAGAGGACGACCAGCAACACUGGGACUGAGCCACGGCCCAGACUCCUGCGGGAGGCAGCAGUGGGGAAUUUUGGACAAUGGGGGCAACCCUGAUCCAGCCAUGCCGCGUGCGGGAAGAAGGCCUUCGGGUUGUAAACCGCUUUUGUUCGGGAAGAAAUCCUCUGGGCUAAUACCCCGGGGGGAUGACGGUACCGGAAGAAUAAGCACCGGCUACCUACGUG